UACGUAGGGGGCUAGCGUUGUCCGGAAUCAUUGGGCGUAAAGCGCGUGUAGGCGGCCCGAUAAGUCCGCUGUGAAAGUCCAGGGCUCAACCCUGGGAUGCCGGUGGAUACUGUCGGGCUCGAGUCCGGAAGAGGCGAGUGGAAUUCCUGGUGUAGCGGUGAAAUGCGCAGAUAUCAGGAGGAACACCUAUUGCGAAGGCAGCUCGCUGGGACGUAACUGACGCUGAGACGCGAAAGCGUGGGGAGCAAACAGG
RNAcentral lists this ribosomal RNA (253 nucleotides) under uncultured bacterium. RNAcentral describes it as "partial 16S ribosomal RNA". It matches the Rfam family "Bacterial small subunit ribosomal RNA", at positions 524 to 776 of the family's 1533-position model. The record is from RNAcentral.